This 247-nucleotide ribosomal RNA is filed under the name uncultured bacterium. Its description in RNAcentral is "partial 16S ribosomal RNA". It matches the Rfam family "Bacterial small subunit ribosomal RNA", at positions 524 to 776 of the family's 1533-position model. The record is from RNAcentral.
UACGUAGGUGGCAAGCGUUGUCCGGAUUUACUGGGCGUAAAGAGCGCGCAGGCGGUCGUUCAAGUCGCGUGUGAAAGCCCCCGGCUCAACUGGGGAGGGUCACGCGAUACUGAUCGACUCGAAGGCAGGAGAGGGUAGUGGAAUUCCCGGUGUAGUGGUGAAAUGCGUAGAUAUCGGGAGGAACACCUGCGGCGAAGGCGGGUUGCUGGGCUGACACUGAGACACGAAGGCCAGGGGAGCAAACGGG